Coffea eugenioides is the source of this 381-nucleotide long non-coding RNA. RefSeq lists it as uncharacterized. NCBI's taxonomy places the organism in Eukaryota, Viridiplantae, Streptophyta, Magnoliopsida, Gentianales, Rubiaceae. The record is from RefSeq and is a predicted model, not a curated record. The transcript is spliced from 3 exons.
AGGAAGAAAGCCGUCCCUGCUUUCCGUCUUGGCCUCCGCCGGCGACUCUGCCCAAAAACGACAUUUCUCACUUCAGCAGGUUUUAGCAAGGACGAAGAUUUCGAUUCCCAGCGUGAGUUGUGACUUCACUCUUGAUCUUGAGGUUUGAGAAAUCUGAGCUACUUAUAUCUUCUUAAGAAUGUAUUUGGACUUCAUUACUUCGUUUUGUGGCUUGUAAUGUAUUUGAAUUAAACGAUAUAGUUUUGUUUUGGGUUGCCACUUGAACCUGAAAAAUGUGUAAACCCUAAUUCUGUCAUUUGGCUGGUAUGUAUAUAUUCGGUCUGUGUGAAAUUAUAUGUAUUUGGGAUGGUAUGGCUUUAAUCCUUGUAAUUAACGCGUGAA